RNAcentral lists this ribosomal RNA (484 nucleotides) under uncultured bacterium. Its description in RNAcentral is "partial 16S ribosomal RNA". It matches the Rfam family "Bacterial small subunit ribosomal RNA", at positions 29 to 507 of the family's 1533-position model. The record is from RNAcentral.
AUUGAACGCUGGCGGCAUGCUUUACACAUGCAAGUCGAACGGCAGCGCGGGCUUCGGCCUGGCGGCGAGUGGCGAACGGGUGAGUAAUGCAUCGGAACGUGCCCAGUAGUGGGGGAUAGCCCGGCGAAAGCCGGAUUAAUACCGCAUACGACCUGAGGGUGAAAGCGGGGGACCGAAAGGCCUCGCGCUAUUGGAGCGGCCGAUGUCGGAUUAGCUAGUUGGUGGGGUAAAGGCUUACCAAGGCGACGAUCCGUAGCUGGUCUAAGAGGACGACCAGCCACACUGGGACUGAGACACGGCCCAGACUCCUACGGGAGGCAGCAGUGGGGAAUUUUGGACAAUGGGGGCAACCCUGAUCCAGCCAUGCCGCGUGCGGGAAGAAGGCCUUCGGGUUGUAAACCGCUUUUGUUCGGGAAGAAAUCCUCUGGGCUAAUACCCCGGGGGGAUGACGGUACCGGAAGAAUAAGCACCGGCUAACUACGUG